UGGGGAAUAUUGCACAAUGGGCGCAAGCCUGAUGCAGCCAUGCCGCGCGUGUGAAGAAGGCCUUCGGGUUGUAAAGCACUUUCAGCGGGGAGGAAGGCGUUAAGGUUAAUAACCUUGGCGAUUGACGUUACCCGCAGAAGAAGCACCGGCUAACUCCGUGCCAGCAGCCGCGGUAAUACGGAGGGUGCAAGCGUUAAUCGGAAUUACUGGGCGUAAAGCGCACGCAGGCGGUCUGUCAAGUCGGAUGUGAAAUCCCCGGGCUCAACCUGGGAACUGCAUUCGAAACUGGCAGGCUAGAGUCUUGUAGAGGGGGGUAGAAUUCCAGGUGUAGCGGUGAAAUGCGUAGAGAUCUGGAGGAAUACCGGUGGCGAAGGCGGCCCCCUGGACAAAGACUGACGCUCAGGUGCGAAAGCGUGGGGAGCAAACAGG
RNAcentral lists this ribosomal RNA (429 nucleotides) under Acidobacteriota bacterium. RNAcentral describes it as "Acidobacteria bacterium partial 16S ribosomal RNA". It matches the Rfam family "Bacterial small subunit ribosomal RNA", at positions 355 to 776 of the family's 1533-position model. Lineage: Bacteria; Pseudomonadati; Acidobacteriota. The record is from RNAcentral.